This 484-nucleotide ribosomal RNA is filed under the name uncultured bacterium. Its description in RNAcentral is "partial 16S ribosomal RNA". It matches the Rfam family "Bacterial small subunit ribosomal RNA", at positions 30 to 507 of the family's 1533-position model. The record is from RNAcentral.
AUUGAACGCUGGCGGCAGGCCUAACACAUGCAAGUCGAGCGGAUGAAGGGAGCUUGCUCCUAGAUUCAGCGGCGGACGGGUGAGUAAUGCCUAGGAAUCUGCCUGGUAGCGGGGGAUAACGUCCGGAAACGGGCGCUAAUACCGCAUACGUCCUGAGGGAGAAAGUGGGGGAUCUUCGGACCUCACGCUAUCAGAUGAGCCUAGGUCGGAUUAGCUAGUUGGUGGGGUAAAGGCCUACCAAGGCGACGAUCCGUAACUGGUCUGAGAGGAUGAUCAGUCACACUGGAACUGAGACACGGUCCAGACUCCUACGGGAGGCAGCAGUGGGGAAUAUUGGACAAAGGGCGAAAGCCUGAUCCAGCCAUGCCGCGUGUGUGAAGAAGGUCUUCGGAUUGUAAAGCACUUUAAGUUGGGAGGAAGGGCAGUAAGUUAAUACCUUGCUGUUUUGACGUUACCAACAGAAUAAGCACCGGCUAACUUCGUG